This 649-nucleotide ribosomal RNA is filed under the name Nocardioides marinus. RNAcentral's name for it is "bacterial SSU rRNA". It matches the Rfam family "Bacterial small subunit ribosomal RNA", at positions 97 to 759 of the family's 1533-position model. The record is from RNAcentral. Lineage: Bacteria; Bacillati; Actinomycetota; Actinomycetes; Propionibacteriales; Nocardioidaceae.
GGCGAACGGGUGAGUAACACGUGAGUAAUCUGCCUCUGGCUUCGGGAUAGCCACCGGAAACGGUGAUUAAUACCGGAUAUGACAUCUUCACGCAUGUGAUGGGUGUGGAAAGUUUUUUCGGCCAGGGAUGUGCUCGCGGCCUAUCAGCUUGUUGGUGGGGUAAUGGCCUACCAAGGCUUCGACGGGUAGCCGGCCUGAGAGGGUGACCGGCCACACUGGGACUGAGACACGGCCCAGACUCCUACGGGAGGCAGCAGUGGGGAAUAUUGGACAAUGGGCGGAAGCCUGAUCCAGCAACGCCGCGUGAGGGAUGACGGCCUUCGGGUUGUAAACCUCUUUCAGCACAGACGAAGCGCAAGUGACGGUAUGUGCAGAAGAAGGACCGGCCAACUACGUGCCAGCAGCCGCGGUAAUACGUAGGGUCCGAGCGUUGUCCGGAAUUAUUGGGCGUAAAGGGCUCGUAGGCGGUUUGUCGCGUCGGGAGUGAAAACACCGGGCUUAACUCGGUGCUUGCUUUCGAUACGGGCAGACUAGAGGCAUUCAGGGGAGAACGGAAUUCCUGGUGUAGCGGUGAAAUGCGCAGAUAUCAGGAGGAACACCGGUGGCGAAGGCGGUUCUCUGGGAAUGUCCUGACGCUGAGGAGCGAAAG